UCCUCUUUACAGAGGCAGUUUCGUCCGAGUCCCCGGCAUGACCCGCUGGUAACAGACAAUGAGGGUUGCGCUCGUUGCGGGACUUAACCCAACAUUUCACAACACGAGCUGACGACAGCCAUGCACCACCUGUGCUGCACCCUCGAAGGCGGCUCCGUUUCGGGAGCUUGCAGCAGCAUGUCAAGCCCUGGUAAGGUUCUUCGCGUUGCAUCGAAUUAAGCCACAUGCUCCACCGCUUGUGCGGGCCCCCGCCAAUUCCUUUGAGUUUCAACCUUGCGGCCGUAGUCCCCAGGCGGUUCACUUAAUGCGUUAGCUGCGGCACCGAGGGUUACCCCCCAACACCUAGUGAACAUCGUUUAUGGCCAAGACUAC
This 372-nucleotide unclassified non-coding RNA is filed under the name uncultured bacterium. RNAcentral describes it as "contains 16S-23S intergenic spacer region". The record is from RNAcentral.